RNAcentral lists this unclassified non-coding RNA (25 nucleotides) under Mus musculus (house mouse). RNAcentral's name for it is "oocyte_clustered_small_RNA4993". The record is from RNAcentral. Lineage: Eukaryota; Metazoa; Chordata; Mammalia; Rodentia; Muridae.
UAGCAGGUUCUAGCAACAGUCAGGG